GUCAAGGCCCUUUUUAGGGCCACCUAUCCAUUCACUUGAGAGAACU
Camelus ferus (Wild Bactrian camel) is the source of this 46-nucleotide non-coding RNA. The record is from Rfam. Lineage: Eukaryota; Metazoa; Chordata; Mammalia; Artiodactyla; Camelidae.